GACGAACGCUGGCGGCGUGCUUAACACAUGCAAGUCGAACGAUGAAGCCUAGCUUGCUAGGUGGAUUAGUGGCGAACGGGUGAGUAAUACGUGAGUAACCUACCUUUAACUCUGGGAUAAGCCUGGGAAACUGGGUCUAAUACCGGAUACGACCAAUCUCCGCAUGGGGUGUUGGUGGAAAGCGUUAUGUAGUGGUUAUAGAUGGGCUCACGGCCUAUCAGCUUGUUGGUGAGGUAACGGCUCACCAAGGCGACGACGGGUAGCCGGCCUGAGAGGGUGACCGGCCACACUGGGACUGAGACACGGCCCAGACUCCUACGGGAGGCAGCAGUGGGGAAUAUUGCACAAUGGGCGCAAGCCUGAUGCAGCGACGCCGCGUGAGGGAUGACGGCCUUCGGGUUGUAAACCUCUGUUAGCAGGGAAGAAGAGAGAUUGACGGUACCUGCAGAGAAAGCGCCGGCUAACUACGUGCCAGCAGCCGCGGUAAUACGUANGGCGCGAGCGUUGUCCGAAUUAUUGGGCGUUAAGAGCUUGUAGGCGGUUUGUCGCGUCUGCUGUGAAAGCCGGGGCUUAACCCCGUGUAUUGCAGUGGGUACGGGCAGACUAGAGUGCAGUAGGGGAGACUGGAAUUCCUGGUGUAGCGGUGGAAUGCGCAGAUAUCAGGAGGAACACCGAUGGCGAAGGCAGGUCUCUGGGCUGUAACUGACGCUGAGAAGCGAAAGCAUGGGGAGCGAACAGGAUUAGAUACCCUGGUAGUCCAUGCCGUAAACGUUGGGCACUAGGUGUGGGGGACAUUCCACGUUUUCCGCGCCGUAGCUAACGCAUUAAGUGCCCCGCCUGGGGAGUACGGCCGCAAGGCUAAAACUCAAAGAAAUUGGCGGGGGCCCGCACAAGCGGCGGAGCAUGCGGAUUAAUUCGAUGCAACGCGAAGAACCUUACCAAGGCUUGACAUAUACUGGACCGCAUCAGAGAUGGUGUUUCCCUUCGGGGCUGGUAUACAGGUGGUGCAUGGUUGUCGUCAGCUCGUGUCGUGAGAUGUUGGGUUAAGUCCCGCAACGAGCGCAACCCUCGUUCUAUGUUGCCAGCACGUUAUGGUGGGGACUCAUAGGAGACUGCCGGGGUCAACUCGGAGGAAGGUGGGGAUGACGUCAAAUCAUCAUGCCCCCUAUGUCUUGGGCUUCACGCAUGCUANCAUGGGCGGUACAGAGGGUUGCGAUACUGUGAGGUGGAGCUAAUCCCUAAAAGCCCGUCUCAGUUCGGAAUGGGGUCUGCAACUCGACCCAUGAAGUCGGAGUCGCUAGUAAUCGCAGAUCAGCAACGCUGCGGUGAAAUACGUCCCGGGGCU
RNAcentral lists this ribosomal RNA (1345 nucleotides) under uncultured bacterium. RNAcentral's name for it is "bacterial SSU rRNA". It matches the Rfam family "Bacterial small subunit ribosomal RNA", at positions 28 to 1381 of the family's 1533-position model. The record is from RNAcentral.